CACCAGCAGGAGACAGCAAUGAAAUUUCACAGUAUCUUGUUCUUCUGACAGUCAGUGUUAAAAUAAAACAGGUUAUAGGACCCCCCCCCCCCCCCCCAAAAAAAAAGAAAAAAAAAAGAAAAAAAAAGUUAAAAAUACUCAAAUCCAUGUGGCUGUUGUGCAUGAAAAGCAGUUUAGAUAUGACUGUAGCCUUGAACUGAAUUGAUUUUAGGGCAGGUUAAUGGCAUGACAAAUGCAUUUAGCUUUGGUGAUAGGCUACUACUUCAAUAGCCGAUGAAAUCACUGAAAUGCCAUUGGGAACAUUUAGGCUAGUAGUGAAUGUGUUUCAUGUUCAUACCGUAGCUUGUAGAUUAAAAAAACAAAACAAAACUAAACAAAACUAAAACCAAAACCAAACCUCAGCUUUUUUCCCUAAUUAUAUUCUUUGGCAUGCUUUAAGAUAAAUCAAUUAAACAUAUUUGAGAGCCAAGCAGGAAUGUUGAGAAAAGAGCUUAGUAGAUUAAGUAGCACACCUUACCCUUUCUUUCAUUAGGCCAGAGAUGCAAUUAAUGAUUGCUUUACUCACCUGUAAAACCCAUCCUGUAUCACUUCUGAUAAAGAAACCAUUUAAGCCCUUGGCACUGCCUUCUAUCACAUUUUCCCUCACUGUUCAAGACCAGUAUUCCAGCACUCAGUGUACCAGUAGGUAAUCUCAACUAGUGUUUCUCAGGUCAUAUAACUGGAUAUUGGCAAGGGUUUUGUAAGGUUGUAGUGAAGAAACAAUAGCAUUUAGAGGUACAAAGUACACCAAAGUAAGGGAAUGCUCUCUCAUUAUGCUUUUUUUAUUUUAUUUUAUUUUUAUUUUUAUUCCCACCAUAUACAGUGUAUACAUGUGCUGAGAAUGGACAAAUUCACUGUGUUGGUAGUAGCAGUCCACAUUGUUCUAGGACAUAAUGGCCAAGCUUCGGAUUAUGUGAUCAGAAAUAUAAACAUAUCCAGACUCACUGAUAUGUGUAUGCAUUUAUAUAUAUAGCAUUGUAGAUGGUAUUUCUUAUGUGAGAAUGAUAAAAAAAUAAAGUGGAAAUUCUACUUUUUUACUGUCUUACAGUCUUACUUUCAGUAACAUUACUAUCCAGUAGUAACAGAAGUAUCCGAGAGUAUUCCGUAGCAGUAUCUAAGAAUUAAUAAAUUCAUUAGUGUUACAAGAAAAGCAGUUGAUGCUCUAAUCCUUUCCACUCUGCAUUUUUCAGAUCAACAUAAACUUGCGAUGAAAAGUAAAAAAAAAAAAUGGCAUUACACAUUCUAAUUUAGCUUUUCUUUCUGAAAAAGUCCAAACAAAUGAAGCAAAAGACAUUUUGAGCCUAUUUUAAUGUACAGAAAAACUGGAAAACAGUGAUUUUAGCAUGCUUAUGUUUUAGAAAACAGAAAUAAAAUAAAAAGAAAGCCAACAUUUUAACUGGAGGAAGACAUGAUGGGGGAAUUUUUGAAUUCUCAGAAUUUCCAAAGGUGUUUCAAAAUAGAAAUAGACACCAAAGCAUUCCUUUAAAAUUUGAAGAAUUUAGUGUAUGUUGCCUAAUGCCUAAAUUAAAACGCUUUGUCACACCUGAAAUAGUUUGCUUCUAUCUCCCUUCUAUUUAACAGAAUAUAGGAAAUUCUGUGAUAAUUUCUUAGAGUGGAUUAACUAAAUUUGUGCACAAAAGAACAAUAAUAAUAAUCUCCCCAGGAAUGUGCAUUCCUUGGCUUAGAAACCAUAUUGCACAUAUUCUUUCUUAAAGAUUUCCACCUCUCAAGUAAUUAUUCAUUGCCAGUUGUGACGGUGGCUGUAAGUGAUGACUUUGGCUGGUCUCUAGGCACUAUUCACAGUCUUUUCUAAUUGGUACUCUUUCCCUUUCCACUCAGAUGUAGCACUAGUAACAUUUCUUCUAAAAGAAGACAACUUGACACUGCAGAUCUGGUGAGAGGCCUGCUGCACAGACCUUCUGUGCAUUUGUUCUCACUUGUCAGAAUGAUUCUUACCAUCCGUGUUCAAAGUCUCAGCCAUCUACAUGGCCUGCCGUGACACAGGGUUUAUAAAGUGUUUUUCAACUCUCUGGAGAAUAAAUCAACAAUUGCCUCUUGUGUAGUAUUUCCAUAGAAAAUUAGAAGGUGGAAAACAAGAUGAGCUCUCAGCACAAUUCAAGCUGAAGCCUGUUUCUCAUAUCCAAAAAGCAUCUUGGUUGCAUUUUGUUGCAAUAAUAAAACAGCUGCUACU
Long non-coding RNA from Gallus gallus (chicken), 2230 nucleotides. The record is from Ensembl. Lineage: Eukaryota; Metazoa; Chordata; Aves; Galliformes; Phasianidae.